Molecule: ribosomal RNA, 560 nt
Filed under: uncultured bacterium
Lineage: Bacteria
Description: bacterial SSU rRNA
Rfam family: Bacterial small subunit ribosomal RNA
Source: RNAcentral
GAAACUGGAGCUAAUACCGCAUGUGGUCCUUCGGCAAAAGCAGAAGGAUUAAAGCCUUCGGGUGCUUGAGGAGUGGCUUGCGUCCGAUUAGCUUGUUGGUGAGGUAAUGGCCCACCAAGGCAAUGAUCGGUAGCUGGUCUGAGAGGAUGAUCAGCCACACUGGGACUGAGACACGGCCCAGACUCCUACGGGAGGCAGCAGCAAGGAAUAUUGUGCAAUGGGCGAAAGCCUGACACAGCGACGCCGCGUGGGGGAUGAAGGCCUUCGGGUCGUAAACCCCUUUUCUCGGGGAAGAACAAUGACGGUACCUGAGGAAUAAGUCUCGGCUAACUACGUGCCAGCAGCCGCGGUAAUACGUAGGAGGCAAGCGUUAUCCGGAUUUAUUGGGCGUAAAGCGCGUGUAGGUGGCUCUUCAAGUCGGAUGAAAAAUCUCCCGGCUCAACUGGGAGGGAACAUUCGAUACUGCUGGGCUAGAGUGCAGCAGAGGGAGGUGGAAUUCCCGGUGUAGUGGUGAAAUGCGUAGAUAUCGGGAGGAACACCAGUGGCGAAGGCGACCUCCU